GAUCCAAUUUUCUGCCACCGAAUACAUUAGCAUGGGAUAAUGGAAUAGGACCCUGUCCUCCUAUUUUCAGUUGGUUUUGGCAGCGCGAGGACUAGGGUAAUGAUUAAUAGGGAUAGUUGGGGGCAUUAAUAUUUAAUUGUCAGAGGUGAAAUUCUUGGAUUUAUGAAAGAUUAACUUCUGCGAAAGCAUCUGCCAAGGAUGUUUUCAUUAAUCAAGAACGAAAGUUAGGGGAUCGAAGACGAUCAGAUACCGUCGUAGUCUUAACCAUAAACGAUGCCGACCAGCGAUUAGGAGACGUUGAAUACAAAACACCACCAUCGGUGCGGUCAUCCUUGGCGUUGGUCUUCAAAAGCCAGCGCGGGGGUGGCUUAGCCCGGUGGCACCGGUGAAUGACUCCCCUAGCAGCUUGUGAGAA
Molecule: ribosomal RNA, 415 nt
Filed under: Acanthamoeba sp.
Lineage: Eukaryota; Discosea; Longamoebia; Acanthamoebidae
Description: SSU rRNA
Rfam family: Eukaryotic small subunit ribosomal RNA
Source: RNAcentral